Molecule: long non-coding RNA, 701 nt
Filed under: Manihot esculenta (cassava)
Lineage: Eukaryota; Viridiplantae; Streptophyta; Magnoliopsida; Malpighiales; Euphorbiaceae
Description: long non-coding RNA (MESC_LNC002447)
Source: RNAcentral
AUUCUCUCUCCAUUUUAGAGAGAGAGUUGAGAUGGAAAUUAUAAUUUUCUCUCGAUUUUAGAGAAACAGGUUUUUAUUUUUUUGUGAGGCAAAGGAUUUUGAUUCGUGUCAAUUUACGGCCUCUACCUCAAUUGGACAGAUGUGGCUCUCUUUACCUCUCUCAAAAAUGUGUUUCUUCCUCCCUGUCCUUCCGGGUGAGAGUGUAAAUAGAUUUUGAUCUGUGGUUUUUCGGCAGGAGAUAGUUAUUUGUGAGGGAGUCUCCAUUUUCCUACCAAAUAAUUUGGUUGCAUGUUUGUUUUCUUUUUCUCUUCCUUUGUGUUUUGCAGAUGGAGGAUUCCUGGCGGUGCUUUUUCUAGUUUGUUCUUCUGCCAUUAGGAAACGAUGGAGAGAUCUAUACUUUUCAAUCUCGUAAUCGACGCUUUUGUCCUAAGUUCUCAUUCCUUGGCUCGAGAGGAUGGUGGGUGGACUCGAUUGCAAAAGUCUCUUUUCUCUUUCUAUUGUAUUCAUCGUUCAUCUCUCAACCUUGCUAGGGCUGCAUGCGUUUUUCUGCUCGGUGCCAUCCUUUGUUUCUAUUGCUUUAGUUGCCGGAAAAGAACUACUGUUCGGAAAAAAAAAACUUAUUUCCUCUUAUCGGCCAUGGCAACUGAGUUUUUGGGUCUUAGGGUUUCUAUGUGUUUGAGUUGCCUCCAAAUAAAAGUUUG